Molecule: long non-coding RNA, 1675 nt
Filed under: Numida meleagris (helmeted guineafowl)
Lineage: Eukaryota; Metazoa; Chordata; Aves; Galliformes; Numididae
Description: lncRNA (ENSNMEG00000001496.1)
Source: RNAcentral
CCAGGGGGGUCCUGGAAGCCCUGCAGCUCCCGCAGGCCCUGCGUUAACGAAGGAACAAAGGGUUAAGGGAGAAAAAAGGUUUAACGAGGGCAGGGCUCGUUAACGUCGAGCUCGUUAAUGAGCGGAAGGGUUAAUGAGGGGGGGGCGGGGCUUACCUCCAGCACCAGGCGGAUGUGGGCGCGGAUCUGGGCGCCGUCCCGCGUAAGGGAUUCGCUGAGCCUGCGGGAGGGGGCGGGGCUUAGGGGAGAGUGGGAGGGGCCAAGAAAUGGGGGCGUGGCCUGGGAUAGGGGGCGUGGCCCAGAAAGGGGGCGUGGCCUGAAGCGGGGGGCGUGGCCUAUUGGCCUCCAGGUGGUGCCAUUGGGGGAUAAUAGAGGGGGCGGAGCCUAUCUAAAGGGGCGGGGCUUCAAGAAGGGGCGUGGUCACACGAAAGGGGGCGUGGCUUGAUGAGGGGGCGGGGCUUAUUGCCAUCCAUAGGCCAUCACAUGGGUUCUAUCGGGGGCGGAGCCUAACUAAAGGGGAGGGGCUUCAAGAAGGGGGCGCGGUCACACAAAAGGGGGCGUGGUCUAUGAAAAGGGGGCGUGGCCUGAUGUGGGGGCGUGGCCUGUUGGCUGCCAGGUGGCAUCGUGGGGGGAUAAUGAAGGGGGCGGAGCCUAUCUGAAGGGGUGGGGCUUCAAGAAGGGGCGUGGUCAUGCAAGGGGGGCAUGGCUUGAUGGGGGCGUGGCUUAUUGCCAUCCAUGGGGCAUCAAGUAGGCGCUAUUGGGGGCGGAGCCUAACUAAAGGGGAGGGGCUUCAAGAAGGGGCGUGGUCACACAAAAGGGGGCGUGGUUUGAGAAAGGGGGUGUGGCCUGACAUGGGGGCGGGGCUUACUGGCCUCCCCAGGGCUUCAUUGGUGGAUGAUACUGGGGGGUGGAGCCAAAAGAAGGGGAGGGGCUUCAAGAAGGGGCGUGGCCUGGUCGUGUGGGCGUGGCCUAUUCUGUAACCCCUCCCCCUUCUGUUUUCUAUUGAGUUUCAAUGGUGGAGAGCGGUGGGUGGGCGGAGCCAAGNGUUUACUCCUGGUUUACACACCCAGUUUAGUCCAGGUUCACACACUCUUUACACCCGCUUUACUCCGUAUUUACUCACACUUUACCCCACGUUCACGCAGCCUUUCCUCUGGAUUUACACCCGCUUUACUCCAGGUUUACUCCUGGUUUACACCCACUUUACCCCAGGUUCACACACUCUUUACACCCCCUUUACUCCACAUUUACUCACACUUUACCCCACGUUCACGCACCCUUUCCUCUGGAUUUAUGCCCACUUUACUCCAGGUUUACUCCAGGUUUACACGCCCUUUCCUCUGGAUUUACACCCACUUUACUCCAGAUUCACACCCUUUACUCAAUGCUUACACCCCCUUUAUUCCAGGUUUACUCACACUUUACCUCAGGUUUACUCACAAUUCACUCCAUGUUUACUCACACUUUAUUCCAGCUUCACACUCCCCUUCCUCCUGACUUUCAUCUGCUUGAUGCACGGUUUACACCAGGUUUACACACUCAUUACUCCAGAUUUCCUCACACUUUACUCCAGAUUCGUGCCCAUUUUACUCCACAUUUUUCCACUUCCAACCCAUUUCCUCUCCCAAUCACAGGUUUACACCCUUUACUCAAUGCUCACACCUCCUCUACUCCAG